Pseudophryne corroboree (corroboree frog) is the source of this 1099-nucleotide long non-coding RNA. RefSeq lists it as uncharacterized. NCBI's taxonomy places the organism in Eukaryota, Metazoa, Chordata, Amphibia, Anura, Myobatrachidae. The record is from RefSeq and is a predicted model, not a curated record. The transcript has 4 exons.
AGGUGUUCAGGUGUUCAGUGAAAGAAAAGGGGAGGAGUCCUGGAAAAAGUCACGGGUCACUUGACGAAACGCGAUGACCCUGCAGUGAAAAGCAUCUGGUAGCUAAGCCCAGAAUAAAGGGAGAAUAUCAUUCAAAAUUUCUGGCGUGCUGGAAGUCCGGUGAGGAGUACCCCUACUGUUUAAAGUACCGAUUUGGAUAAUUCAUCUGAGCCUGUUAGUAACCGUGUUUACCUCCCAUUCUUUGGAAAUAUUGGACCUGGACCAAGCCCCCGCUGACUAUCUACUAUUGGACCAUAUAAGGACAUUCCUCACUACACCGUGGAAAAUUACAACAUAUCACCCGCCGAGGAACAGCUACUUUGCGGACGCAGAUUCGCCUGAUCACCUCGAGAGAUGUUGGUGGUAACUAUAACCCACGGAUAGGACAUUGGGCCCUAGAAACCAAGGGGACUCUCAUAGAAACAGUGUUUGGGUUAUAGUCCCAGUGGCAGAAUCGUGCAUAUACAAGACUGGUCAUGGGCAGUGUGAUCUCUCUCACAUGUCAGACAGGAAGCUGUCAGUUGUUGAAACAACAGAACCAUUCAUCACACAGCAUUGAAGCAAUUGAAAACACCGUGUAUCAUGAGCCUUUGAUAAAGCUGCCAUAAGACAGCGAAACGCGUCAACACUACCUACCUCUGUACUUUGGACACUAUCGCAUGACUCAGAUACCUAUGUGUGGACUCUGCUAAGCCAUUUUUGGGACAAAUGAAACAAAGACCACCGUGGAGGUAAUAUUUAAGGGACCCCUAUUUGUGCGCUGGAUUCCAUUGCUUUUUGGAUCAUCGCUAACAGGAAACCCAGUAUAGCCACACAGGAUUGGUAACUAUUCUAAAUUAUUGGACAUUAGUCCCUGAAAACAUCUAGCUAUAAUAUCCACCCUCAUAUAGGAUCUGAACUUUAAUGUCCUAACGAACAUUUCAAUAUUAUUUACCAGAGACUGGAUAUACACAGCUCCCUUUUCAAUUUAUUGCUAGUGUGAUAAUAUAUGAUGUGCUAUACAAAGAGUACGUUAAAUUGUGUUUUAAUAAAUUGUAUGAAUUGAUUUUAUACUUUUACA